Molecule: non-coding RNA, 23 nt
Filed under: Cricetulus griseus (Chinese hamster)
Lineage: Eukaryota; Metazoa; Chordata; Mammalia; Rodentia; Cricetidae
Source: RNAcentral
AUUACUAAAUGCUUUGAUUUCAG